RNAcentral lists this unclassified non-coding RNA (210 nucleotides) under Hevea brasiliensis (rubber tree). Lineage: Eukaryota; Viridiplantae; Streptophyta; Magnoliopsida; Malpighiales; Euphorbiaceae. The record is from RNAcentral.
CACGUGUAUUGCUUUGCCUAGCAGAGAAAGGCAAGAACUUGUGCCGGUUGACAUGGCUGCUGCAGCUCCUAAGCAACAGCGUUAUCUGUCUCUUAACGUCAGGUCAACGAUACUGUUUUUAACCUUCUUUUUUUAAUUUUUUUUAAAGGUUCUUCAAUAUAUAAUCUUUAAUAUUUUCAAUCUUAUUGUAGCCAUUUUUUUGAAGAUGGG